AACCAGCUGACGGAAGUAACAGUAGAAACAGGAGGAUGGAUGCUUAAAGACAAGACCAUGUUGCCAUUUCAUUUCAUGUAUCAUUUUAGAAAUACACACACAAAUAUGUAUAAGUGUAUAUGUGUGCAUAUGUAUACAUGUACACACAUAUACGUAUAUGUGUAUAUGGAUACAUGGAUUUAUGGGCUUCUCAAAUCCUACCUACACCAAUCUUUGGAACAUCCAUCACCCUGCUGGUCCAAGGGAGCCUGGGAGUAUGAAUACGCUCACACCAAGGAUAAGGCUUUCUAUUGUCUCCUCCCAAUGCAUGGUAAAGAUGUGGUAAGAACUCAAAGGAUCACGGUCUUUGGUGUGACAUCCUACAACAAUAUAGGAGCUGAAGGGACUGGUGGGCUUGUCCAGAUAACUCCACUGAUGAUCCAGAGCACAAAGCAAGCUCCACAAAGAAACCUGUGGAGAUUCCUAAGUUUCUAGAUGUUUCUGUGUCAACCUUCUGCAGAUCUCGUUUUAGAUAAAGCUAAGACUACAGAGGUGUUUCAGAGUGAUAUGACAGACCAGGAAAACUCAACUGAAAUGGUCUAAUUGAACUCAAACUCUCUCAGGAAUGAAAUGUGGUUCGUCAUCAGGAUAAUCAAAUCCGGGCUCCUGUAAAUGCUAGGUCUAUACUCGCCCACUGAGCUACAUCCAAACCUAAAUUAUUUCUAUAGUUUAAAAAUUAUAUUUGUUAGGGCCAGCAAUAUGGCUCGGUAAGGAGUAAAGACACCUGCUGCGAAGCCUGACCACCUGGCUCUGUUCCUGGAACCCAUGUUGUGAAAGGAAAAAAGAAAUCAAUUCCCACCAUGCCCUCUGAUUUGUGUGAUUGUACAUAUGCACAAUAACCCUCAAAAUAAAUAGGUAAUGCAAAAAAA
This 908-nucleotide long non-coding RNA is filed under the name Mus musculus (house mouse). RNAcentral's name for it is "RIKEN cDNA 1700111E14 gene". The record is from RNAcentral. Lineage: Eukaryota; Metazoa; Chordata; Mammalia; Rodentia; Muridae.